Non-coding RNA from Vicia faba (fava bean), 315 nucleotides. Lineage: Eukaryota; Viridiplantae; Streptophyta; Magnoliopsida; Fabales; Fabaceae. The record is from the annotation of a GenBank genome assembly.
AUGCAAUACCGCCCUCUGCAUCUCCGCCGGCAAAGCACCUCCACGCCGACCGAUCUCCUCCACGAGCAGCUUUGCUGCCGACGAAAAUCGUUUUUCGCCUCUUUUCGCGGAGCACCAUCGCCGCCGGAUUUCAGCCGCACAACUUCCGAUGGGACUCCCUCCGUCCAGAUCCACGGCGGCUUCGCCGUAUCUAUGUUGAACGACCCAUUCUCCAUCGAGAAGUUCUUUCCCGACUUUACAUCCCUUCUUUCAACUACUUAUUUAUUCUGUUCUCACUUAUGUUGUAUUGGUAAUAGUUGUUUAAUUGAUUGCUAG